Molecule: transfer RNA, 70 nt
Filed under: Dipodomys ordii (Ord's kangaroo rat)
Lineage: Eukaryota; Metazoa; Chordata; Mammalia; Rodentia; Heteromyidae
Rfam family: tRNA
About the family: Transfer RNA (tRNA) molecules are approximately 80 nucleotides in length. Their secondary structure includes four short double-helical elements and three loops (D, anti-codon, and T loops).
Source: Rfam by way of RNAcentral
GGGACAGUGGCUCAGUGGUAGAGUGCUUGCCUGUCAUGCAUGAGGCCUUGGGUUUGAUUCCUCAGCACCA